GCCUGGCUGGCUCAGUUGGUAGAGCAUGUGACCCUUGAUCUCAGGGUCAUGAGUUCAAGUCCCAUGUUAGGUA
This 73-nucleotide transfer RNA is filed under the name Mustela putorius furo (domestic ferret). Its description in RNAcentral is "tRNA-Lys (CTT) (tRNA-Lys-CTT-10-1)". It matches the Rfam family "tRNA". From Rfam's summary of the family: Transfer RNA (tRNA) molecules are approximately 80 nucleotides in length. Lineage: Eukaryota; Metazoa; Chordata; Mammalia; Carnivora; Mustelidae. The record is from Rfam by way of RNAcentral.